Molecule: long non-coding RNA, 1235 nt
Organism: Lutra lutra (Eurasian river otter)
Lineage: Eukaryota; Metazoa; Chordata; Mammalia; Carnivora; Mustelidae
Exons: 7
Source: RefSeq, a predicted model, not a curated record
AGGAGGUCCCUUGGCUCUUCACUGUCUUGACAGUAAACAGCAAAGAACUUCCUGUCGCUAUUUCUCAGCUUUCUUCUAUUGGAUGUGCAACAGUCAUUAUAAUGAACGUCAGAUAUGGCAUGAGAUUUCAAGGAAGUUUAACUUGAGCAAUUACGAUUUCAUCCAGACUCCAGAGCCUCUGUUGUCAAGAAGGAUUCUAGAAGACCUGAUGACUGUGUUCCCACAAGCAAGAAGACUCUGAAGACAGCCAAGCCACACUACUGUGUUUUAGAAGAUUCUACAAAAAAGACAGCCUUCCUGAUGAAGUACCAGAGGCAGACUAAACAAUUUUGCCAACCCUGUGGUGUUAUUAAGAGAGCAAAACACAGAUGGCACCGGUCACCAUCCAAUGUUAGGUCACCUGGCCCCUGAGUGGACAGUUAGAGAUGGUGUUGUAUUCAUUCUAGAAUGUCAAGCCUGGUUAAGAAUGGAGGAUGAGAGAUUACAAUUUGGGGAUGUUGCAUGAGCUUCCUGAGGGGUGACGUCAGUGCUGGAAUUGAGGUUGGAGGAAGAUCAAUGGCAGUGAAGCUGGUGUCCUCUGGAAAGCUAAAAGCCAAGAGAAAGGGAGAAGACCGGUCUUCUCUGCUGGAGUCAUUAGCAGCCUCAGUCGUCUUCAGGAAAGCCCAAGUACGACGUUCUAACUAUGGUUCCAAAGGCACAGAGAUACAAUGCUCAAGGGAAACCUUUGCGAAGAGGUGCCAUUUGAACAAAAACCUGGAUGAAGUGAGGGAGUGAACAUUGCUACGCUCUGGGAGAAGAGUCUUUCAGAAGAAACAACUGCUCCAAAGGCCCCAAGAUGGACUGAGGCCAGUGAAUGCUACUCAUGAGAAGAAAUCUUAAAACAUGGAACUACUUUGGGCACCUGAUAGUCUCUGUAUUUUUGUGUUAUGGGAAACUGGACAUUUAGAAUAUCCAGUGAGUUAAAUACCUAAAAGUAAAUCAGCCCUUCCCAGCGUGAUGGAUAAAUGUUUAAUAUAAGCGAGUAGACUAGUCAUCAUAAAACCCCAAGUUCCUCUUGUCAGUUUCCAGUUAAUCACUAUCACAUGAGAGAAGUGAAGUUAAGGAAGGUCAGCUGACAGAAGUGAGUAUUGGGACAUGCCGACAACUAUACCCAUAAGACUGCUUGCUUCACUGUAACUAUCCUGGAAGCUCUGAUUUUUUUAUUUGAGUUUGUUGCAAAAGUAAAGAUAAUAUAG